Cydia fagiglandana is the source of this 352-nucleotide long non-coding RNA. RefSeq lists it as uncharacterized. The record is from RefSeq and is a predicted model, not a curated record. Lineage: Eukaryota; Metazoa; Arthropoda; Insecta; Lepidoptera; Tortricidae. The transcript is spliced from 3 exons.
CCGGUACCGGUACCGGUCAUCCCGGUCCCGGUACCGGUGCCCGUGCCGGUGGCCCCGGCGCCGCCGCCGCUGCAGAGCCGCCCGCCCGUGUCGCCGGUUGAUGCCAAGAUUGAACAGCAUGACUUGACCUCACCCCGACAGUUGGUGCAACCAUGCUCCAUGACAUGUGGUCGCGGAGUGCCCACGCUGGCCUGCGGGCUGUGUCUGUGCCUCUACCACCCCGCCUGCGCCGGCCUCACUGCCCCUAGACCAGAGGGGACCUUCUUCUGCAAGAACUGCCGCAAGUCCAGUUCGCCGUCGUCCCCCCCGCCGCCGCUGACGCACAAGUCGGGGCUGACGUCGCUGGUGGCGC